Non-coding RNA from Picea glauca (white spruce), 121 nucleotides. The record is from Rfam. Lineage: Eukaryota; Viridiplantae; Streptophyta; Pinopsida; Pinales; Pinaceae.
ACAUGCCUACAUCAUAGAGUUAAUGCACCAAAUCCCAUUAGAACUCUGCAGUUAAGCUCGCUCAGGCUAGAGUACUAUUGGCAUGGGUGACCGCCCAGGAAAUACUAGUGUUUUACAUGCC